AUUUAUUCUAACAUGGAGAAAGUUCUGUACAAUUAUACAAAGUAUGACUGACAAUUAUCAAGAGGAAAUAGUUGUUGAUGUAUAGAUAUAAAUUCACUUAAUUAGUUCAUGUUUGGUUCACACUGUAGAAGUUUCUGGGACACAGUAGAUAUGCCUUCUCCUUGUCCCUUGAACAAAGAUAAUUGUUGGUUAUGGAAACUUUUCAGAAUAAAACACAGGAAAGAUUCUUAGAAACAAACAGUGAGGACGAUUGUUCUCUUUCAAUGAGUUGUUGACACAGUCGAAUGGAGAUGAAGGUGGCAAAUGGCAAAAGUGAGAUACCGAAGAUUUAUUUUCUGGACGUCUUCUCUGGUCUCUUUUGUUCUAGCCUCUCCUUGUCCCUUUUUUCUGAACUCUCAUUCAUCACUUUAAUUGUGAACUUGGUUUUCAUUUUCUCACAGAGGUUUUUAUAUGAUCAUCGAUAUCUUAACCUUCCACCUCUCCGUGACGGAUGCUAACACAACAUUAUUCUAGAUAUUCAUAUCAUCCAGUACUUGUGUUUAUAUUUCUUGUGAUUUAAAUUGUGUUGAGGGACAAGAGUCCAUGGGUUGUCUAUACGAGAUAUCAUCAUGUGUUACUUUCUGUGUACGUUCCUGACCUUCACAGUAUACUCCAAGGUUAAACUUAAGGUCUUCCCUAAAGGAAACCCAAUUAGUACAACCCCUCCUCGGGUCUUUGUAUGUUACUUGACUAGGUACUAUACCCUGUAAAUUAAAGCAAAUAUAUCUGUGAUUUGAUAAAUAUGG
This 785-nucleotide long non-coding RNA is filed under the name Androctonus crassicauda. The record is from RNAcentral. Lineage: Eukaryota; Metazoa; Arthropoda; Arachnida; Scorpiones; Buthidae.